ACGAUGAAGAGUUUGAUCCUGGCUCAGGAUGAACGCUAGCGGCAGGCUUAACACAUGCAAGUCGAGGGGUAACAGGGUUUGCUUGCAAACCGCUGACGACCGGCGCACGGGUGCGUAACGCGUAUAGAACCUACCUUUUACAGGGAGAUAGCCCGGAGAAAUCCGGAUUAAUAUCCCAUAGUAAUGUUUUACGGCAUCGUAAAACGUUUAAAGUUACGGCGGUAAAAGAUGGCUAUGCGUCUUAUUAGCUAGUAGGUAAGGUAACGGCUUACCUAGGCAACGAUAAGUAGGGGCCCUGAGAGGGGGAUCCCCCACACUGGUACU
RNAcentral lists this ribosomal RNA (324 nucleotides) under Lentiprolixibacter aurantiacus. Its description in RNAcentral is "bacterial SSU rRNA". It matches the Rfam family "Bacterial small subunit ribosomal RNA", at positions 1 to 320 of the family's 1533-position model. The record is from RNAcentral. Lineage: Bacteria; Pseudomonadati; Bacteroidota; Flavobacteriia; Flavobacteriales; Flavobacteriaceae.